Long non-coding RNA from Hordeum vulgare subsp. vulgare (domesticated barley), 827 nucleotides. RefSeq lists it as uncharacterized. The record is from RefSeq and is a predicted model, not a curated record. NCBI's taxonomy places the organism in Eukaryota, Viridiplantae, Streptophyta, Magnoliopsida, Poales, Poaceae. The transcript is spliced from 3 exons.
UAGAGAUGCGCUAGAAACAGAGCCCACGAUCCCUCUCAUCUCUCCCAAAUCGACGCCACCUACCGCCUCCUCUCCCUCCUUGGAUCCACCUCAUCGCCGGCCCUCGCCCACCCCUUCUCCCACCUCGCACCUCCAGCGGCUGUCGGAUCCGCCCGCAUCCCCCACCCAUCCAUCCCUCUCACGGCCCAUCCCAGUCUCUCUCUCUUAGUGCGGCCUCUCGCUGCGCCAUCUACAGCGGAAGUUUCAGUCGACGUCUGGCCAAUCCUGCCACCACGAAGCACAACCCGAUGCUCCUCUCACACUGCAGCGCCCUCCCAUUGGACUAGAUCCGGCGCUCACGGCCACCAAAGAUCAGCGGCGACCUUCCCCAUGGCUAGGGUUGCCGGUGUCUGCUCCGACGCCGGUGGUCAUGCCGCCCUCCUCUCGUCCGACCUGUAGGGAGGAAUGGCCAUUGUACAACCUUGGUGCUGCUUGGGACGAAGCAGCCAUGGAGAUUCCUCCUCCUCAUCUGGCUUCAGAUUCAAAAGAUAUAUGGAUGAUUAUAUGGGUGCGUUGCAAGUAUACUUCAAUGAUGAUGAUGAUGUUCUGGUCCAUGACGAUGACGAUAGAUGCCUUCAGUAUUAGUUAACUUGUGGGGAUGUUGUUCCUGUUGGAUGAUUUUCUUCAGCUAACUUUUAGUUAAGUUGUAGGAGUGUUGACGGAUGGUUUAAGUUUAAUCUUCGUUGUAAAGAUUUUUUUAUUAUGCAUCACAUUUGGAUGAUGUUCUGCCUGUAAUAUCAACUAUUGUAAUCCAACAGUUUUAUUCAAUAUAUGGGUUCCUCCUCUCA